RNAcentral lists this ribosomal RNA (206 nucleotides) under uncultured bacterium. RNAcentral's name for it is "partial 16S ribosomal RNA". It matches the Rfam family "Bacterial small subunit ribosomal RNA", at positions 568 to 774 of the family's 1533-position model. The record is from RNAcentral.
UGCGUAGGCGGCCUGACAAGUCAGGGGUGAAAUGUCGUCGCUUAACGAUGAAAUUGCCUUUGAUACUGUUGGGCUUGAAACAGGUUGAGGUUGGCAGAAUGUGGCAUGUAGCGGUGAAAUGCAUAGAUAUGCCAUAGAAUACCGAUUGCGUAGGCAGCUGGCUGGACCUGGAUUGACGCUGAGGCACGAAAGCGUGGGAGCAAACA